UCUAAUUACAUAAAAUUGAUAUUGUCAUAUAGUUAUUUGUUUGUGCUUUGUUCUGAUAUAUCGAUUUCUUUUUUCUCAAAUUUUUUGCUUCGUUUUAUAUAAUGCACAGAAAGAAGGGGGAAUGCCUGAACUGGAGAAAGGUACAGUUAAGGCUGUUCAAGAUCUUUAUGACGUUGUGCACCAUGACAUCCUUUCUGUGGACCUGAGGGAAAACUAUGAGACAUGGAAAUUUUUGUCAAAUGCAAGGAUGGAAGGUCGUCUAUUUGCAAAGUUAAAGUGGCCCAAGGACCCUAAGUUGGUAUGUUUGAGCAGAUUACCUGAUCUCCUUAGUUGGGUUUAGAUUUAAUGCUCAGUGUUAUGUUGUGCUUCUGCUGCUUUUUAGUUAUUGAGGAUAUGCAGAGAGUGCAAGUGAAAAGAUUGUAUUCACUGUGUUGACGCAUUAUUUAUAACGAGAUCCAAAAGGAAGGACAGGUUCAAUCUCAAUGUCCGUGAGCUUUCAAUUCUCAAUUUUAUUAUUAUUAAUUUUGUUUGCUCUUUGAAAUUUGAAUGCAUCAGUCUUUUAAUUUGAUUGGGAUUAGUUUACCUGAGAUGGGUUUUGGGUAAUCAUCUGUUAUUUUCUGAUUUGGUUACAUUAUGCGAAUCAUUGCUUCUUUAGAAAAGAUUAAGGAAGGUGAGCAAUUUCAGAAAAAAUGCGAUUAUCAUUUUCUAGAGAUCAUGGCAUUGCCCUUUUUUUUUACAUCUAUAGUGUCAUGUUGGCAUUAUUGCUUAUGUAUAAAAGCGAGUGUAUUUUACAUCUAUCUAAUGGCUUCAAUUUUAAUCUCCGCAUUUUCAGUGUUCACUAAUGCCUUUAAUUGUUCCCUGUUUUACAUCUCAGUGAUGACACAAAAGCUCCAUAGAAAACAUGUCAGCUUUUGACUUAAAUUUUGAUGGUGCCCCUAUCAUCUCUCCGAAAACCAAAGCAACCCCAAACAAUUCCGGAAUAAUUUUUACGUGUCCCAAAAUACGUGAUGUUGCAGCAAACGAAAUAUCAGACACAACUCUUACUCCAAAGGCUCCCGCCAGAAAUGUAUCAGAUUCCCCAGCAUUUCUGAAACCAUAUUUAUGGCUGCAAAACAGAGUAUGUAUACCCUUUCAUUGUUCUAUAUUUUUUGAAUUAUUAACCAUCUAUUAAACAUAAUCUUUUUAUCCCCUUCGCUUAAAACUCAAAUAGUUCACUAGAUUUCUUUAUCAUAGUCAAUUGGAAAUGAUGCAGUACUUUAUUCAAUUCAGAUUCUUCAUUUCAGUUGCUUGGUAUGCAUCUAUGAGGAUGUUAAUUUUUUCAUCAAUGAAUACUGAUGAAUUUUGCUGCAUAUCCUUCACAUUGUUCAACUACUCAAUGCUAUUCCUUUAUGAAUGGUUUAACUGAUACCUCCUAUUUAGUUGAUGAAAUAAUCUACCAAAAAAAUAGGGAGUUCAAUUCAGAACAAAAAAUUCUGUUAACAUUUUAGUUCGCUUUCUACAAUUUUGACCAUCUAUAUAGAUCCUCCAAUCUUUCAUAUCACAUGCCUAUAUCAAUCUGAUUGAUAAAUGCACAGUUCCUUUUUUAACUUCCAGUCCAUUUGAAAUUUUCAUUUUGCUGCUUUAUUUUAACAGUUGCCAUUUUUUCAAAUUUGUAUCAACACUUUUCAAAUUUUAACAGUCCAUUAGAUUUCCAUACUUUCUUUUUCUCUUUUGUUUUAAAUUCUAUCUCAUUUUUCUAAAACCAAAAUGCAAAACAUAAAUUUUUAGGCAGUCUGUCUUUAGGCACUUUACAAUACUGGUUCUGAUCGCUUGAUUGAAAACGCUGUGUCUAUAUUUGAACAACUUGGUAGAAAAGGUUACAUAGACAAAAAAAGGCACCUCAGCAACCGGAUGAAUAAGAAUGAACAACUCCUGCUGUACCAUUUGUCAUAUCCAUAAACAUCUAUUCAUAAUCUUUCGACCAUCUUUUGUACGUAAAUAGGACAAUUUCGUAAAUCUUUUGUAUGUAAAUAUUAUAUACAUAUGCAUCUAGCAUUCUCUUUUGUAUGUAAAUAGGAUUAUCUACCAAAUCUUUUGCACGUAAAAUAGUAUGUCCAUACAGAUCAAGUAUUUUUGUAUGUAAAUAGUGCUAUACACAAAAUUACAUACAGUUCAAUCCCACAGCAUCGCGUGGGCAUCUCU
Pyrus x bretschneideri (Chinese white pear) is the source of this 2181-nucleotide long non-coding RNA. RefSeq lists it as uncharacterized. The record is from RefSeq and is a predicted model, not a curated record. Lineage: Eukaryota; Viridiplantae; Streptophyta; Magnoliopsida; Rosales; Rosaceae. The transcript is spliced from 3 exons.